AGUUGCUGGUCAAUACAUUUGGCAGAUCAGACCGAACAGUAAAAGAAGAGAGCAUAUCAGUACAUAGCUAGCACCGUAUCUUGUGAUGGCCGUCAGUACAACAAGUGCAUGCUUUGUAUGCUUGGCAGCCCUUAUGGUGGUGAUGGCCACUGUGAUGUUGUCCUGUGAUGCUGAUCCAAAGGAAUGGUGCUCAGGGCUUGAAGAUGGAUGCACCGAAGACAAGUGCAAGGGUUGGUGUGAAGGCAGGGGUUACACCAAGGGAAUUCAUUGCCAGGACGUCGCCACUUGUUGUUGUAGGAGGACUGCGACCAAGCCCAUGGUGGAUGUUGUCCGUGGUCGUGAUUGAGCGCUUGCGAACGUUGCAUUUUUUAUUAGAUAUGUUGCAAAAGGUCGGUGCGUUCGCAGCGGGUAAGAAAUAAAUAAAUUUUAAAGAAACAUUUAGCAUC
Hordeum vulgare subsp. vulgare (domesticated barley) is the source of this 446-nucleotide long non-coding RNA. RefSeq lists it as uncharacterized. The record is from RefSeq and is a predicted model, not a curated record. The transcript is spliced from 2 exons. NCBI's taxonomy places the organism in Eukaryota, Viridiplantae, Streptophyta, Magnoliopsida, Poales, Poaceae.